Molecule: long non-coding RNA, 636 nt
Organism: Solanum stenotomum
Lineage: Eukaryota; Viridiplantae; Streptophyta; Magnoliopsida; Solanales; Solanaceae
Exons: 2
Source: RefSeq, a predicted model, not a curated record
UGGGUUUGUGAUCAGAGAAGAGUUUCUUUUUAGGCCCAAAUAUUCUUCUUGGGAUUGGUGUGGUUUAAAGUAAUUCAAUUCCCCCCUAUAAAUACUCCACCCCCUUUCUUCACUUCAUCACACUCAUAAAACACACAUAAUUUUAUUUUAUUUUUCUAAAAAAAACCAUUCAUUUUCUUCUUCUCGUUUUUUUCUUCUAUUAGGGUUAAAUUUGUUUCCUUUGCAAAAAAAUGAUCCUUUUUGUGUUUUUCCACAGCUUUCUUGAACUGCAUCUAAUUACAAUUUCAAUUCACAAAAUGAAAAAUUGAUUCAUAUUGUUGUUGCGGUUCAAUAAGGCUGUGGGAAGAUACAGAUAGGAUCAAACAGAAUUGAAUCGCUACGGAGUUAAUCGGUUGUUUUGAGUCGAGGAUCUGUCAAAAAUAAAUUCUUAGAGUAAAUAUGUAUCCUAUUCUUUCAGAUCUCACUAUGAGAUUACACGGGAGAAUUAAAAGGUGUCCAUGAUGAUCGACUAUUGUGUUUGUGGAUGUGUCUAUCUAAUAUAGAUAGCUUUGUGUUUCACUAUAGAUCUGAUGGGUUUGGAUUGAGCAAGAUGUAUAAGACUUUAUUCUUAAUUUUAUAUUAUAGUUUGUUAUCGUU